CGCGCAGGUGGUUCUUUAAGUCUGAUGUGAAAUCCCCGGGCUUAACCUGGGAACUGCAUUUGAAACUGGCAGGCUUGAGUCUCGUAGAGGGGGGUAGAAUUCCAGGUGUAGCGGUGAAAUGCGUAGAGAUCUGGAGGAAUACCGGUGGCGAAGGCGGCCCCCUGGACAAAGACUGACGCUCAGGUGCGAAAGCGUGGGGAGCAAACAGGAUUAGAUACCCGAGUA
Molecule: ribosomal RNA, 225 nt
Filed under: uncultured Pantoea sp.
Lineage: Bacteria; Pseudomonadati; Pseudomonadota; Gammaproteobacteria; Enterobacterales; Erwiniaceae
Description: partial 16S ribosomal RNA
Rfam family: Bacterial small subunit ribosomal RNA
Source: RNAcentral